RNAcentral lists this ribosomal RNA (484 nucleotides) under uncultured bacterium. Its description in RNAcentral is "partial 16S ribosomal RNA". It matches the Rfam family "Bacterial small subunit ribosomal RNA", at positions 30 to 507 of the family's 1533-position model. The record is from RNAcentral.
AUUGAACGCUGGCGGCAGGCCUAACACAUGCCAGUCGAGCGGAUGAAGGGAGCUUGCUCCUGGAUUCAGCGGCGGACGGGUGAGUAAUGCCUAGGAAUCUGCCUGGUAGUGGGGGAUAACGUCCGGAAACGGGCGCUAAUACCGCAUACGUCCUGAGGGAGAAAGUGGGGGAUCUUCGGACCUCACGCUAUCAGAUGAGCCUAGGUCGGAUUAGCUAGUUGGUGGGGUAAAGGCCUACCAAGGCGACGAUCCGUAACUGGUCUGAGAGGAUGAUCAGGCACACUGGAACUGAGACACGGUCCAGACUCCUACGGGAGGCAGCAGUGGGGAAUAUUGGACAAUGGGCGAAAGCCUGAUCCAGCCAUGCCGCGUGUGUGAAGAAGGUCUUCGGAUUGUAAAGCACUUUAAGUUGGGAGGAAGGGCAGUAAGUUAAUACCUUGCUGUUUUGACGGUACCAACAGAAUAAGCACCGGCUAACUUCGUG